AGCCCUGAGGGCCUACCGCGAACCACGUUCGACGUGUUGCCUCCCUGUCACACUUACGUACGAAUUUACAAGUGCGACAGAGAGGCAACAUGUAGAACGUGGUUCGCGGUAGGCCCUCUUGCCCUACAGAAAAGUGCCAUCGACAAAAUACGUAACUUCUUGUAUAGAAUUACAUUAGUACAAAUUGAUUAACUGUCGCGAACAUUUUCUAAAUAAUGCGAUUAAAAUAAAACGGGACCUUAGAUUACGAUUCGUAUUUCUGUAAAAGUAAAAAUUAUAAUACCUGUACAUACAUAUGUUAAAUAAGUAAGUAUUUUAAACGUAUCUGUUUAACCAGUACUCUUGAAUCUGAUGCAGCUUUUAGAUUUUAAUUGAGGGUAAGGCAGGGCUAAAUAUCGGUAGGUAAGGGUGAAAUGGCCACUAUAUCUUAUCUACUCCGUUUAUGUAGUCCAUUUGGCUUCGAAGUGACUGUAGUAUGAACGAGUUACAUUACGUUUCAUAUUUCUAGGCAAGGCCCUCGGUCAUUUCUACCUAACUCUAAAAGUGUGGAGCUGCUUUUUGUACCGACAAAGUAGGUAAAUAUAGGGAAAUCACCCAGCGCCACUGAAUUACGUGUUAAUCGAAACAUUUCCAAAAUCUUCAGUAUCGCUAAAAUAUGGAUGGAGGCCAAUUCGAAGUUACAUAGCGAUAUAAAAAUGAUGUAAUAUUGGUAUUAUUGGCCUCAUGAUCAGUCUUAUAUCAUUAAGUGGAACCCUAUCAUUAUGACGAUAACUUAACACUUCAGUCACAGUCGUAGUGUCUCUAUUUGAUAUUGAUAGAGCUUCCUUUAAGUUGCAAAAUCUGUGGUAAUUGAAUUCAGUCUGUUAAAUUCUGGUUGUAUUCAUCUUUUUGAAACAGCCCUCAAUAUAAAGUUAACGUGCGUGGCGCGUCAUUUGUCGGUGUCCACUAAGGGUCUUCGGCAGCCAAAGGAAAUCAUUUGAUUUUGAUCAUCAUACGAUCGCCGACGUCCAGAUUUUGCAAUUGCGCUGUUUGUCUUAAAGGUCUGUUUACUUACCAAGUUUUCAACUUUAACUUAGGUUAAGUAAUGUAGGUAGUGUAUUGUUACUGUGGUACUUAGUCAAACUAAGAAACGACGAGGAUGUGAUAGCGAUUACCUUAUACGAUAUUGUAGCGACAUCGAUAUUAAUUACAUUCCAUAAUUAAGUUACCUUUUAAAUACGUAAUCAUCAAAUGUACAGGAUCUACUAAUGAAUAAACUGCACCCACUAAAUAAAUAAGUACUUAAAUGGACCGUUCGUAGGCCUAUUUCGAAUAUAUCAGAACUUUUGAGAUCAAUGAGAAACUUUGAGGUCGAAUAUUUUACAUAGCAUUUGAAAUAGUCCCUCGUGACGACAUGUGUACAAAAGCCUAAUUUGUAACGGUUUAGAGAUAUUCAAUGGAAUGAAGAUUGCUGUCUUUAUCAUUAACUCGUCUCGACUAUAGAGCUUUUACAUUACAAGUGCUAAGUUUAGUUAGCAUGCAAUGCAAAAAAGAUGUUGUUCUUUCGUAGCGAAAAUAAUUCACGAAUUCGAUAAUCGACAAGUUGACGAGAAUUAAGAGAUAAAUCCCGCUGUUACAUAGCAGAAGGGACAAAUAUGAUGUAGAGAAAGAAAAAGACAUCUACACAUUUUUCAAAAGUUUACUCUCUUUUUACGCGUAGGGACAGUACUGUCUGGACGAUUAUUUAUUCAUUACCCCUUUUUAAUAGGUACGCAUCUACUGUAGGUAAAGAUAAAAAUUAAUUUCUACAAUUUAUCACAAUUACUAUUAAGUUGUUCUCAACGAAAGUUGGAAAUUAUUACUAUGUAAUACUAAAACAUAGGAUUUAAGGUAAACGUGAAUUUGAAAUUUGCUCAAUUUUGGCUUAGUAUAUGUCAAUAAAUUACUUUUAAUUCGGGUGUUAAUGGGCUUCCGUGUAUAUAACGAUGUAUAUAAGUAUGUAUAACGCGGAAAUGUGGCUGUUAUAUUAUUGGCAUAAAAAUGUAUUAUAUGGUGUAUAGCAAAUUACGAAAAAUAUUCAAAACCUUGUGACAUUCUUAAGCGGGAGGGAACAUAGAGCUGUGUUUGUUGCGAAGUCUCGCAUUUGUAUUAAUGCAGCAUAAAUAGUAUAAGCACCUGGGGACCUAGUCAAGGUGACAAAGAAUAGAAAAAAUCAAUGUUAAUUGUAUAUUUCCAUACAUUACGAGUUAAAUACUCGUAAUGUAUGGAAAUUGUUAGAUUAUUGUUUUCUAUCAACGAUUACAACAUCUUGUCUAGACCUGCUGCCAUGGUAUACGUCCCUGUUCUUUGAGAAUGACACAUUCUACUGGAAAUUUUGUUUACCUACCUAAAAGAGGGACCUGAAGAAGUUGCAUUUAUUGCAAAAAAUAAAACCGUUUGUUCGGUUAAAAAUAUAUUUGUAUUAUGAUGAAAAAAGGGAAUAAAGAUAUAAAUGAAAUGUU
Molecule: long non-coding RNA, 2480 nt
Organism: Cydia strobilella
Lineage: Eukaryota; Metazoa; Arthropoda; Insecta; Lepidoptera; Tortricidae
Exons: 2
Source: RefSeq, a predicted model, not a curated record